RNAcentral lists this ribosomal RNA (497 nucleotides) under uncultured bacterium. Its description in RNAcentral is "partial 16S ribosomal RNA". It matches the Rfam family "Bacterial small subunit ribosomal RNA", at positions 28 to 507 of the family's 1533-position model. The record is from RNAcentral.
GAUGAACGCUGGCGGCGUGCCUAAUACAUGCAAGUCGAGCGAACAGACGAGGAGCUUGCUCCUCUGACGUUAGCGGCGGACGGGUGAGUAACACGUGGAUAACCUACCUAUAAGACUGGGAUAACUUCGGGAAACCGGAGCUAAUACCGGAUAAUAUAUUGAACUGCAUGGUUCAAUAGUGAAAGACGGUUUUGCUGUCACUUAUAGAUGGAUCCGCGUCGCAUUAGCUAGUUGGUAAGGUAACGGCUUACCAAGGCGACGAUGCGUAGCCGACCUGAGAGGGGGAUCGGCCACACUGGAACUGAGACACGGUCCAGACUCCUACGGGAGGAAGCAGAAGGGAAUCUUCCGCAAUGAGCGAAAGCCUGACGGAGCAACGCCGCGUGAGUGAUGAAGGUCUUCGGAUCGUAAAACUCUGUUAUUAGGGAGGAACAAAUGUGUAAGUAACUAUGCACGUCUUGACGGUACCUAAUCAGAAAGCCACGGCUAACUACGUG